RNAcentral lists this long non-coding RNA (529 nucleotides) under Brachypodium distachyon (stiff brome). Its description in RNAcentral is "long non-coding RNA (BDIS_LNC005631)". The record is from RNAcentral. Lineage: Eukaryota; Viridiplantae; Streptophyta; Magnoliopsida; Poales; Poaceae.
GCUCGGUCAGGCGCGGUCGGACCGGGCCGGUUCGGCCCUUUUGGCCGGACCGGGCCGGUUUUCUCUUUUUUUUCCUUUAGCCUUUUCUUUUUCUGUUUUUCUCAUUUCUAUGAUAACUUUUGAUUUUGAACUCCAAAUUGGUCCAAAUAAAUUCUAGAAAAUUUGUAAAAUCAUGUUUUAUUACGAUUCAAAUUUUGGGAGUAAUUUCCCUUCAAAAUAAAAUAUCUAAAAAUACAUUUGCUCUAUAAAUGCCUUUAGGGCUAUAUAACUAAUUAAACAAAAUAGUUUUUCAACUCCAAAUAAUUGUCCAAAAAUUAUGGGAUAGUUUAUUUAUGCAAUAAACCCCUUUUAUUAAUAAACCCUAUUGGUUUGAAGAUCCAAAGCUCAGAUGGGUGUAAACCCUAGGGUUUAAAUUGAAAUAAAUCUUUUCAAAGCCUUUUGAGAUUCAAAUUUGAAUUCAAAAGUGCAACUGUGGGAUGAUGCUUAUGGAUGCAAUGCAACUGUAAAAGUUUGAAAUUUUGGGAUGUUA